CACGCAUGACACACUGCAUAUCAAUAAGCGGAGGAAAAGAAACUAACAAGGAUUCCCUUAGUAACGGCGAGUGAAGCGGGAAGAGCUCAAAUCUGAAAUCUUCAAGGUUCUACCUUGACGAAUUGUAGUUUAUAGAAGUGUUUUCUGUUAGUGGAGUGGCAAAAGUUCUUUGGAAUAGGACAUCAUAGAGGGUGAGAAUCCCGUAUUUGGUCAUUCCUCCUAGCGUUGUGAUACACCUUUCAACGAGUCGGAUUGUUUGGGAAUGCAGUCCAAAAUGGGUGGUAAAUUUCAUCUAAAGCUAAAUAUUGGCGAGAGACCGAUAGCGAACAAGUACCGUGAGGGAAAGAUGAAAAGAACUUUGAAAAGAGAGUUAAACAGUACGUGAAAUUGUCAAAAGGGAAGCGUUUGACACCAGUGUUGUUUUUCCGAAAAUCAAUUACGAAUGUUUUGUUUUUAAGAAGUUAUGACUUCAUCGGCUUGCUUCUUUCUUUACGAAACUUUCUUAAUGCACUUUUCGGUUAACAAGUCAACAUCAAUUUCUUUUGUUGUAAAAGGGUAUGAGGAAGGUGGCUUUCUUUUCGGAGAAAGUGUUUAUAGCCUUGUGCCUCUGCAAUCGGAGAGAUUGAGGUCUGCAGCGUAGAUCCUUCGGGGUUAGAUACGUUUGUGCUAAGUUAUAGCUUUUCAUAGACAACUUGUUGACUAUGUUUAGUCUUGUAGCUUACUCGCUGACGCUAUUUUACCUACGCUUAGGAUGUUGAUCUGUAGUGCGUGCGC
RNAcentral lists this ribosomal RNA (774 nucleotides) under uncultured Neocallimastigales. RNAcentral's name for it is "partial large subunit ribosomal RNA". It matches the Rfam family "Eukaryotic large subunit ribosomal RNA", at positions 24 to 647 of the family's 3401-position model. Lineage: Eukaryota; Fungi; Neocallimastigomycota; Neocallimastigomycetes; Neocallimastigales. The record is from RNAcentral.